Molecule: ribosomal RNA, 1447 nt
Filed under: Limosilactobacillus fermentum
Lineage: Bacteria; Bacillati; Bacillota; Bacilli; Lactobacillales; Lactobacillaceae
Description: bacterial SSU rRNA
Rfam family: Bacterial small subunit ribosomal RNA
Source: RNAcentral
UCGAACGCGUUGGCCCAAUUGAUUGAUGGUGCUUGCACCUGAUUGAUUUUGGUCGCCAACGAGUGGCGGACGGGUGAGUAACACGUAGGUAACCUGCCCAGAAGCGGGGGACAACAUUUGGAAACAGAUGCUAAUACCGCAUAACAGCGUUGUUCGCAUGAACAACGCUUAAAAGAUGGCUUCUCGCUAUCACUUCUGGAUGGACCUGCGGUGCAUUAGCUUGUUGGUGGGGUAACGGCCUACCAAGGCGAUGAUGCAUAGCCGAGUUGAGAGACUGAUCGGCCACAAUGGGACUGAGACACGGCCCAUACUCCUACGGGAGGCAGCAGUAGGGAAUCUUCCACAAUGGGCGCAAGCCUGAUGGAGCAACACCGCGUGAGUGAAGAAGGGUUUCGGCUCGUAAAGCUCUGUUGUUAAAGAAGAACACGUAUGAGAGUAACUGUUCAUACGUUGACGGUAUUUAACCAGAAAGUCACGGCUAACUACGUGCCAGCAGCCGCGGUAAUACGUAGGUGGCAAGCGUUAUCCGGAUUUAUUGGGCGUAAAGAGAGUGCAGGCGGUUUUCUAAGUCUGAUGUGAAAGCCUUCGGCUUAACCGGAGAAGUGCAUCGGAAACUGGAUAACUUGAGUGCAGAAGAGGGUAGUGGAACUCCAUGUGUAGCGGUGGAAUGCGUAGAUAUAUGGAAGAACACCAGUGGCGAAGGCGGCUACCUGGUCUGCAACUGACGCUGAGACUCGAAAGCAUGGGUAGCGAACAGGAUUAGAUACCCUGGUAGUCCAUGCCGUAAACGAUGAGUGCUAGGUGUUGGAGGGUUUCCGCCCUUCAGUGCCGGAGCUAACGCAUUAAGCACUCCGCCUGGGGAGUACGACCGCAAGGUUGAAACUCAAAGGAAUUGACGGGGGCCCGCACAAGCGGUGGAGCAUGUGGUUUAAUUCGAAGCUACGCGAAGAACCUUACCAGGUCUUGACAUCUUGCGCCAACCCUAGAGAUAGGGCGUUUCCUUCGGGAACGCAAUGACAGGUGGUGCAUGGUCGUCGUCAGCUCGUGUCGUGAGAUGUUGGGUUAAGUCCCGCAACGAGCGCAACCCUUGUUACUAGUUGCCAGCAUUAAGUUGGGCACUCUAGUGAGACUGCCGGUGACAAACCGGAGGAAGGUGGGGACGACGUCAGAUCAUCAUGCCCCUUAUGACCUGGGCUACACACGUGCUACAAUGGACGGUACAACGAGUCGCGAACUCGCGAGGGCAAGCAAAUCUCUUAAAACCGUUCUCAGUUCGGACUGCAGGCUGCAACUCGCCUGCACGAAGUCGGAAUCGCUAGUAAUCGCGGAUCAGCAUGCCGCGGUGAAUACGUUCCCGGGCCUUGUACACACCGCCCGUCACACCAUGAGAGUUUGUAACACCCAAAGUCGGUGGGGUAACCUUUUAGGAGCCAGCCGCCUAAGGUGG